CAGUAGCCACGGGAAUACAGAGGGUGCGAGCGUUAAUCGGAUUUACUGGGCGUAAAGCGUGCGUAGGCGGCUAAUUGAGUCGGAUGUGAAAUCCCCGAGCUUAACUUGGGAAUUGCAUUCGAUACUGGUUAGCUAGAGUGUGGGAGAGGAUGGUAGAAUUCCAGGUGUAGCGGUGAAAUGCGUAGAGAUCUGGAGGAAUACCGAUGGCGAAGGCAGCCAUCUGGCCUAAUACUGACGCUGAGGUACGAAAGCAUGGGGAGCAAACAGGAUUAGAUACCCCAGUAGUCCCUGUCUCUUAUAA
Molecule: ribosomal RNA, 301 nt
Filed under: uncultured bacterium
Lineage: Bacteria
Description: partial 16S ribosomal RNA
Rfam family: Bacterial small subunit ribosomal RNA
Source: RNAcentral